GGAUUGUAGCUCAGUGGCAAAGUGCUUGCCUUGAAUGUGUGAGACCCUGGGUUCAAUCCCCAGCACCA
RNAcentral lists this transfer RNA (68 nucleotides) under Marmota monax (woodchuck). RNAcentral's name for it is "tRNA.Ser". The stretch from base 5 to 65 matches the Rfam family "tRNA", at positions 6 to 65 of the family's 71-position model. From Rfam's summary of the family: Transfer RNA (tRNA) molecules are approximately 80 nucleotides in length. Their secondary structure includes four short double-helical elements and three loops (D, anti-codon, and T loops). Further hydrogen bonds mediate the characteristic L-shaped molecular structure. tRNAs have two regions of fundamental functional importance: the anti-codon, which is responsible for specific mRNA codon recognition, and the 3' end, to which the tRNAs corresponding amino acid is attached (by aminoacyl-tRNA synthetases). tRNAs cope with the degeneracy of the genetic code in two manners: having more than one tRNA (with a specific anti-codon) for a particular amino acid; and 'wobble' base-pairing, i.e. permitting non-standard base-pairing at the 3rd anti-codon position. Lineage: Eukaryota; Metazoa; Chordata; Mammalia; Rodentia; Sciuridae. The record is from RNAcentral.